This 1028-nucleotide ribosomal RNA is filed under the name Albifimbria verrucaria. RNAcentral describes it as "LSU rRNA". It matches the Rfam family "Eukaryotic large subunit ribosomal RNA", at positions 58 to 1121 of the family's 3401-position model. The record is from RNAcentral. Lineage: Eukaryota; Fungi; Ascomycota; Sordariomycetes; Hypocreales; Stachybotryaceae.
AAAGAAACCAACAGGGAUUGCCUCAGUAACGGCGAGUGAAGCGGCAACAGCUCAAAUUUGAAAUCUGGCCCUAGGCCCGAGUUGUAAUUUGCAGAGGAUGCUUUUGGCAAGGUGCCUUCCGAGUUCCCUGGAACGGGACGCCAUAGAGGGUGAGAGCCCCGUCUGGUCGGACACCGAGCCUCUGUAAAGCUCCUUCGACGAGUCGAGUAGUUUGGGAAUGCUGCUCAAAAUGGGAGGUAUAUGUCUUCUAAAGCUAAAUACCGGCCAGAGACCGAUAGCGCACAAGUAGAGUGAUCGAAAGAUGAAAAGCACUUUGAAAAGAGAGUUAAAUAGCACGUGAAAUUGUUGAAAGGGAAGCGUUUAUGACCAGACUUGGCCCGGUUGAUCAUCCAGCCUUCUGGCUGGUGCACUCUGCCGGUCCAGGCCAGCAUCAGUUCGUCGCGGGGGAUAAAGGUUUCGGGAAUGUAUCUCCUCCGGGAGUGUUAUAGCCCGUUGCGUAAUACCCUGCGGUGGACUGAGGUCCGCGCUCUGCAAGGAUGCUGGCGUAAUGGUCAUCAACGACCCGUCUUGAAACACGGACCAAGGAGUCGUCUUCGUAUGCGAGUGUUCGGGUGUAAAACCCCUACGCGUAAUGAAAGUGAACGCAGGUGAGAGCUUCGGCGCAUCAUCGACCGAUCCUGAUGUUCUCGGAUGGAUUUGAGUAAGAGCAUACGGGGCCGGACCCGAAAGAAGGUGAACUAUGCCUGUAUAGGGUGAAGCCAGAGGAAACUCUGGUGGAGGCUCGCAGCGGUUCUGACGUGCAAAUCGAUCGUCAAAUAUGGGCAUGGGGGCGAAAGACUAAUCGAACCUUCUAGUAGCUGGUUUCCGCCGAAGUUUCCCUCAGGAUAGCAGUGUUGAACUCAGUUUUAUGAGGUAAAGCGAAUGAUUAGGGACUCGGGGGCGCUAUUUAGCCUUCAUCCAUUCUCAAACUUUAAAUAUGUAAGAAGCCCUUGUUGCUUAAUUGAACGUGGGCAUUCGAAUGUAUCAAC